Molecule: ribosomal RNA, 500 nt
Filed under: uncultured bacterium
Lineage: Bacteria
Description: partial 16S ribosomal RNA
Rfam family: Bacterial small subunit ribosomal RNA
Source: RNAcentral
AUUGAACGCUGGCGGCAUGCCUUACACAUGCAAGUCGAACGGCAGCACGGGAGCAAUCCUGGUGGCGAGUGGCGAACGGGUGAGUAAUAUAUCGGAACGUGCCCAGUCGUGGGGGAUAACGUAGCGAAAGCUACGCUAAUACCGCAUACGAUCUAUGGAUGAAAGCGGGGGAUCGCAAGACCUCGCGCGAUUGGAGCGGCCGAUAUCAGAUUAGGUAGUUGGUGAGGUAAAGGCUCACCAAGCCGACGAUCUGUAGCUGGUCUGAGAGGACUACCAGCCACACUGGGACGGAGACACGGCCCAGACUCCUACGGGAGGCAGCAGUGGGGAAUUUUGGACAAUGGGCGCAAGCCUGAUCCAGCAAUGCCGCGUGCAGGAUGAAGGCCUUCGGGUUGUAAACUGCUUUUGUACGGAACGAAACGGCGAGCUCUAAUACAGUUUGCUAAUGACGGUACCGUAAGAAUAAGCACCGGCUAACUACGUGCCAGCCGCCGCAGUAA